Molecule: long non-coding RNA, 1672 nt
Filed under: Coffea arabica (coffee)
Lineage: Eukaryota; Viridiplantae; Streptophyta; Magnoliopsida; Gentianales; Rubiaceae
Description: long non-coding RNA (CARA_LNC002725)
Source: RNAcentral
GUCAUUUGUUUGCCCUGCCUCCCACGCGAAAGAGAAACAUGUCCAAAUAUGAUUAUUUUUAUGAAUGAAUUAUAUGAGCACAUCUGAACCAUCGAGUUUUGGCUGUAUAGCCACCAAAAAUGAAUUAAGUACCUCUUUCAGCUGUAGCUGUAGCUGUAACUCGGAGGUUUAGAUCUCAUUUACUGUAAAAAAAAAAUUUCAAAAGAAGUGACAGAACACACUUUUAAUCUAAUCAAGUUCGUAAAUCUAUUAAUCCGUUAUACAAUUUUUUAGACUCCUCUUUCCCGUAAAAUAUGAUAAAUUAUGUUAUAUAAAUAUUAUCAUUACAGCCAAAAAAAUUUAUAUCAGCACCUCUGGAUACGUAUUAUAUGUAUAUAAAAAUGAAAUUUAAAUUUAAAUUAAGUGACAUGCAUCCAAAGUGGCAGGAUAUAUGUGGUCAACGUAUAUGAGAUUGAUCUUCAUUUUUUUCAACUUCUACAAUAACACGAUUAGAAUUAAAGAUAUAUGCAUUAACAAGUAAUUGUGAUAUCGGAAGACUUUUACACUUUCUUGGGUUCUAGCAUACGAACUGUCCUUCAUAUCCGUUGAAUUAUCAUAAUUGAUAUGCUAAGAAAUUAUUUUUGGCAACACGACAUAAUAGUGAACUGACUCAUGUAAAUAGAAUUUUCUCUCAUACUACAAGUAGAGGCUAAGUUAAAAACUUUUUCACUAUUUUCCGGUUUUUAUCUUUGAUUUUUGGUGCUUCCAAGAAACGAAGCCUAAUUUUGACUUUUCAUGCAGUUUUUUGAAGUCAUCACCAACCUUCCACAGCUGUGCCUUCGUGAUAGACUAGUCUACAUGUCUAUGACGCGGAAUCAUCUCCCAUAAUCUAAUUAAUUAUGAUGACAAAAGCGGCUUAAGUCACCAGUGCACCAAUCUUUAUUGUCUCUAUAAAUAUGGGCAAUUGACGAUAAGCUCAACGGAACAAGUAAAGAGAUAACCAACCGUAGGAUAUCAAGAACUCCAAAGAAGCUUAAAGAAAUGGAGAGCUCCAAAGCAACCCUCUACCUUCAGAGGCCAAAAGCAGUCGAGGAAGCUGAUAAUAAAGAAGAGAAGACAAGUCAUGGUCCGGUGAGGAGGGUAGCGGAGCCAAACGGCAAAAGGUUACUGGAGAGAAAGCCAACGGAGGAUAUAAAUGCGAGCGCUGAGGCAUUCAUCAACAAGUUCAGGCAGCAGCUGCUCCUUCAGAGGCUUGAGUCCAUUGAGAACUAUGAACAAAUGCUCAAAAGGGGCACAUGAUUUAAGUGUCGAAUAUCAUUGAUCAGCAUAGAGCAUAGCCCCCACCUUAUUCUUUUCAAUAAUCUCUUCCAUUGAUCCACUGUCAAUUUUUGUGUCCCUUAAAAAAAUUUGAUUUGUGCUGUGCAUCUACUCUUAAUAUAUAAGACAUUUUAUAUGGGGAAUUUAUAUUUGGGAUUGUGUGAGACUAUGAUUGCUUAUUUUGUAUCUUAAUAAUAAGCAACUCUUUGCCAGAUGCCCGAGUAAUUAUGAAUAUGAUAUUUCUAACGAUGCUGUUAAUAUGCUCAUAUUAUAUCAUAACUUAACGUGUAAACACGCACAAUUAUAAUUAUUACACUCUUCCUUUGAAAAAACUUUUGUAAAGUAAUUGUAAUUCUCUGAAAAAAAAAUCUAACAC